UACGUAGGUGGCAAGCGUUAUCCGGAUUUAUUGGGCGUAAAGGGAACGCAGGCGGUCUUUUAAGUCUGAUGUGAAAGCCUUCGGCUUAACCGGAGUAGUGCAUUGGAAACUGGGAGACUUGAGUGCAGAAGAGGAGAGUGGAACUCCAUGUGUAGCGGUGAAAUGCGUAGAUAUAUGGAAGAACACCAGUGGCGAAAGCGGCUCUCUGGACUGUAACUGACGCUGAUGCUCGAAAGUGUGGGUAUCAAACAGG
This 253-nucleotide ribosomal RNA is filed under the name uncultured bacterium. RNAcentral describes it as "partial 16S ribosomal RNA". It matches the Rfam family "Bacterial small subunit ribosomal RNA", at positions 524 to 776 of the family's 1533-position model. The record is from RNAcentral.